This 463-nucleotide ribosomal RNA is filed under the name uncultured bacterium. RNAcentral describes it as "bacterial SSU rRNA". It matches the Rfam family "Bacterial small subunit ribosomal RNA", at positions 52 to 507 of the family's 1533-position model. The record is from RNAcentral.
UACAUGCAAGUCGUGGGGCAGCAGGUUUGUAGCAAUACAGAUGCUGGCGACCGGCAAACGGGUGCGGAACACGUACAGAACCUUCCUUUGAGCGGGGAAUAGCCCAGAGAAAAUUUGGAUUAAUACCCAUAGUAUAAUGAAGUGGCAUCACUUUAUUAUUAAAGAUUUAUCACUCGACGAUGGCUGUGCGGCUGAUUAGGUAGUUGGCGGGGUAAAUGCCCACCAAGCCUGCGAUCAGUAACUGGUGUGAGAGCACGACCAGUCACACGGGCACUGAGACACGGGCCCGACUCCUACGGGAGGCAGCAGUAAGGAUAUUGGUCAAUGGAGGCAACUCUGAACCAGCCAUGCCGCGUGGAGGAUGAAGGUCCUCUGGAUUGUAAACUUCUUUUAUAUGGGACGAAAAAAGGCUUUUCUAAGUCGUCUGACGGUACCAUAUGAAUAAGCACCGGCUAACUCCGUG